GGCGUCGACCGGCGCACGGGUGAGUAACGCGUAUCCAACCUGCCCACCACUUGGGGAUAACCUUGCGAAAGUAAGACUAAUACCCAAUGACGUCUCUAGAAGACAUCUGAAAGAGAUUAAAGAUUUAUCGGUGAUGGAUGGGGAUGCGUCUGAUUAGCUUGUUGGCGGGGUAACGGCCCACCAAGGCGACGAUCAGUAGGGGUUCUGAGAGGAAGGUCCCCCACAUUGGAACUGAGACACGGUCCAAACUCCUACGGGAGGCAGCAGUGAGGAAUAUUGGUCAAUGGACGAGAGUCUGAACCAGCCAAGUAGCGUGCAGGAUGACGGCCCUAUGGGUUGUAAACUGCUUUUAUAAGGGAAUAAAGUGAGUCUCGUGAGACUUUUUGCAUGUACCUUAUGAAUAAGGACCGGCUAAUUCCGUGCCAGCAGCCGCGGUAAUACGGAAGGUCCGGGCGUUAUCCGGAUUUAUUGGGUUUAAAGGGAGCGUAGGCCGGAGAUUAAGCGUGUUGUGAAAUGUAGACGCUCAACGUCUGAACUGCAGCGCGAACUGGUUUCCUUGAGUACGCACAAAGUGGGCGGAAUUCGUGGUGUAGCGGUGAAAUGCUUAGAUAUCACGAAGAACUCCGAUUGCGAAGGCAGCUCACUGGAGCGCAACUGACGCUGAAGCUCGAAAGUGCGGGUAUCGAACAGGAUUAGAUACCCUGGUAGUCCGCACGGUAAACGAUGGAUGCCCGCUGUUGGUCUGAACAGGUCAGCGGCCAAGCGAAAGCAUUAAGCAUCCCACCUGGGGAGUACGCCGGCAACGGUGAAACUCAAAGGAAUUGACGGGGGCCCGCACAAGCGGAGGAACAUGUGGUUUAAUUCGAUGAUACGCGAGGAACCUUACCCGGGCUUGAAUUGCAGAGGAAGGAUUUGGAGACAAUGACGCCCUUCGGGGCCUCUGUGAAGGUGCUGCAUGGUUGUCGUCAGCUCGUGCCGUGAGGUGUCGGCUUAAGUGCCAUAACGAGCGCAACCCCUCUCCUUAGUUGCCAUCAGGUCAAGCUGGGCACUCUGGGGACACUGCCACCGUAAGGUGUGAGGAAGG
This 1084-nucleotide ribosomal RNA is filed under the name Segatella copri. Its description in RNAcentral is "bacterial SSU rRNA". It matches the Rfam family "Bacterial small subunit ribosomal RNA", at positions 87 to 1173 of the family's 1533-position model. Lineage: Bacteria; Pseudomonadati; Bacteroidota; Bacteroidia; Bacteroidales; Prevotellaceae. The record is from RNAcentral.